AGCUUCUGAGCAAGACCCAACAGGGCCGAACUAACGCCGCCGCCGAGCGCAGAUUAUUGCCAAACCCGGAAGUGCUCCUUUCACUUCCGUAGGGAAGAGGCGGUGACAAAGAGAAGAAACCGAGAGUGGUUUCUUGAGUUUAUUGGUACCACUGCCAUCGGCCAGCAGAGUACCUGAAAGU
Molecule: long non-coding RNA, 181 nt
Organism: Lutra lutra (Eurasian river otter)
Lineage: Eukaryota; Metazoa; Chordata; Mammalia; Carnivora; Mustelidae
Exons: 2
Source: RefSeq, a predicted model, not a curated record